AAUCAACGCUGGCGGCGUGCCUCAGACAUGCAAGUCGAACGAUUAAAGCUCUCUUCGGAGAGUGCAUAGAGUGGCGCACGGGUGAGUAACACGUAAGUAAUCUGCCUUUGAGUGGGGAAUAACAGUCGGAAACGAUUGCUAAUACCGCAUAACGCAGCGGCACCGCAAGGUGACAGUUGUUAAAGGAGCAAUCCGCUUAAAGAGGAGCUUGCGGCAGAUUAGCUUGUUGGUAAGGUAACGGCUUACCAAGGCUACGAUCUGUAUCCGGUCUAAGAGGACGGUCGGACACACUGACACUGAAUAACGGGUCAGACUCCUACGGGAGGCAGCAGUCGGGAAUUUUGGGCAAUGGGGGAAACCCUGACCCAGCAACGCCGCGUGAAGGAUGAAGUAUUUCGGUAUGUAGACUUCGAAAGAAUAGGAAGAAUAAAUGACGGUACUAUUUAUAAGCUCCGGCUAACUACGUGCCAGCAGCCGCGGUAAU
Molecule: ribosomal RNA, 484 nt
Filed under: uncultured bacterium
Lineage: Bacteria
Description: bacterial SSU rRNA
Rfam family: Bacterial small subunit ribosomal RNA
Source: RNAcentral